UAAAGUGAAUUUGCUCGGUUACAUUGAGAUUUACGUUGUUAGGCGCUUUAU
RNAcentral lists this transfer RNA (51 nucleotides) under Hyalella cajasi. RNAcentral's name for it is "tRNA-Val". Lineage: Eukaryota; Metazoa; Arthropoda; Malacostraca; Amphipoda; Hyalellidae. The record is from RNAcentral.